AUUGAACGCUGGCGGCGUGCUUAACACAUGCAAGUCGAUCGGUAACAGGUGUAGCAAUACAUGCUGACGAGAGGCGGACGGGUGAGUAAUGCUUGGGAAUCUGCCUAUUAGUGGGGGACAACCCGGGGAAACUCGGGCUAAUACCGCAUACGCUCUACGGAGGAAAGCCGGGGACCGCAAGGCCUGGCGCUAAUAGAUGAGCCCAAGUCGGAUUAGCUAGUUGGGGGGUAAAGGCCCACCAAGGCGACGAUCCGUAGCUGGUCUGAGAGGAUGAUCAGCCACACUGGAACUGAGACACGGUCCAGACUCCUACGGGAGGCAGCAGUGGGGAAUUUUGGACAAUGGGGCAACCUGAUCCAGCCAUUCCGCGUGAGUGAAGAAGGCCGUGGUUGG
This 393-nucleotide ribosomal RNA is filed under the name uncultured bacterium. RNAcentral's name for it is "bacterial SSU rRNA". It matches the Rfam family "Bacterial small subunit ribosomal RNA", at positions 30 to 426 of the family's 1533-position model. The record is from RNAcentral.